This 429-nucleotide ribosomal RNA is filed under the name Verrucomicrobiota bacterium. Its description in RNAcentral is "Verrucomicrobia bacterium partial 16S ribosomal RNA". It matches the Rfam family "Bacterial small subunit ribosomal RNA", at positions 355 to 776 of the family's 1533-position model. Lineage: Bacteria; Pseudomonadati; Verrucomicrobiota. The record is from RNAcentral.
UGGGGAAUAUUGCACAAUGGGGGGAACCCUGACCGAGCAACGCCGCGUGAGUGAAGAAGGUUUUCGGAUCGUAAAGCUCUGUUGUUAAGGAAGAACGAGUGUGAGAAUGGAAAGUUCAUGCUGUGACGGUACUUAACCAGAAAGGGACGGCUAACUACGUGCCAGCAGCCGCGGUAAUACGUAGGUCCCGAGCGUUGUCCGGAUUUAUUGGGCGUAAAGCGAGCGCAGGCGGUUAGAAAAGUCUGAAGUGAAAGGCAGUGGCUCAACCAUUGUAGGCUUUGGAAACUGUUUAACUUGAGUGCAGAAGGGGAGAGUGGAAUUCCAUGUGUAGCGGUGAAAUGCGUAGAUAUAUGGAGGAACACCGGUGGCGAAAGCGGCUCUCUGGUCUGUAACUGACGCUGAGGCUCGAAAGCGUGGGGAGCGAACAGG